UACGUAGGGGGCAAGCGUUGUCCGGAUUUAUUGGGCGUAAAGAGCGUGUAGGCGGUUUGGUAGGUCCGCUGUGAAAACUCGAGGCUCAACCUCGAGACGCCGGUGGAAACCAUCAGGCUAGAGUCCGGAAGAGGAGAGUGGAAUUCCUGGUGUAGCGGUGAAAUGCGCAGAUAUCAGGAGGAACACCAAUGGCGAAGGCAGCUCGCUGGGACGGUACUGACGCUGAGACGCGAAAGCGUGGGGAGCAAACAGG
Molecule: ribosomal RNA, 253 nt
Filed under: uncultured bacterium
Lineage: Bacteria
Description: partial 16S ribosomal RNA
Rfam family: Bacterial small subunit ribosomal RNA
Source: RNAcentral